GAUUUACUGGCGUAAAGGGCGUGUAGGCGGUCUUUCAAGUCCGAUGCUAAAGACUGGGGCUCAACCCCAGGGGUGCGUUGGAUACUGUGAGGCUAGACGGUCGGAGGGGGUAGCGGAAUUUCCGGAGUAGCGGUGAAAUGCGCAGAUACCGGAAGGAACGCCAAUAGCGAAGGCAGCUACCUGGACGACUUGUGACGCUGAGGCGCGAAAGCGUGGGGAGCAAACCGGAUUAGAUACCCGGGUAGUCCACGCCCUAAACCAUGAGUGCUGGGUGUCCGGCUUCUGCUGGGUGCCGUAGCUAACGCGCUAAGCACUCCGCCUGGGAAGUACGCACGCAAGUGUGAAACUCAAAGGAAUUGACGGGGGCCCGCACAAGCGGUGGAGCAUGUGGUUUAAUUCGAAGCGACGCGAAGAACCUUACCAGGCCUUGACAUGCCCGGAACCCCUCUGAAAGGAGGGGGUGCCCGCAAGGGAGCCGGGACACAGGUGCUGCAUGGCCGUCGUCAGCUCGUGUCGUGAGAUGUUGGGUUAAGUCCCGCAACGAGCGCAACCCCUAUCCCUAGUUGCCAGCAGUUCGGCUGGGCACUCUAUGGAGACUGCCUGCGAAAGCAGGAGGAAGGCGGGGAUGACGUCUGGUCCGCAUGGCCCUUACGGCCUGGGCGACACACGUGCUACAAUGCCAAGGACAGAGCGCUGCUACCUCGCGAGAGGACGCCAAUCGCAAAAACCUUGGCUCAGUUCGGAUUGGAGUCUGCAACUCGACUCCAUGAAGCCGGAAUCGCUAGUAAUCGCGAAUCAGCCAUGUCGCGGUGAAUACGUUCCCGGG
RNAcentral lists this ribosomal RNA (826 nucleotides) under uncultured Thermaceae bacterium. Its description in RNAcentral is "bacterial SSU rRNA". It matches the Rfam family "Bacterial small subunit ribosomal RNA", at positions 548 to 1378 of the family's 1533-position model. The record is from RNAcentral. Lineage: Bacteria; Thermotogati; Deinococcota; Deinococci; Thermales; Thermaceae.